RNAcentral lists this ribosomal RNA (462 nucleotides) under uncultured bacterium. RNAcentral describes it as "partial 16S ribosomal RNA". It matches the Rfam family "Bacterial small subunit ribosomal RNA", at positions 28 to 507 of the family's 1533-position model. The record is from RNAcentral.
GAUCAACGCUGGCGGCGUGCUUAACACAUGCAAGUCGAACGAAGUUUUUCCUUCGGGAGCAACUUAGUGGCGGACGGGUGAGUAACGCGUGGGUAACCUGCCCUGUACAGGGGGACAACAGCUGGAAACGGCUGCUAAUACCGCAUAAGCACUUAGCACUGCAUGGUGCAUAGGGAAAAGGAGCAAUCCGGUACAGGAUGGACCCGCGUCUGAUUAGCCAGUUGGCAGGGUAACGGCCUACCAAAGCGACGAUCAGUAGCCGACCUGAGAGGAUGUACGGCCACAUUGGGACUGAGACACGGCCCAGACUCCUACGGGAGGCAGCAGUGGGGAAUAUUGCACAAUGGAGGAAACUCUGAUGCAGCGACGCCGCGUGAGUGAAGAAGUAUUUCGGUAUGUAAAGCUCUAUCAGCAGGGAAGAAAAUGACGGUACCUGACUAAGAAGCACCGGCUAAAUACGUG